Molecule: long non-coding RNA, 224 nt
Organism: Ornithodoros turicata
Lineage: Eukaryota; Metazoa; Arthropoda; Arachnida; Ixodida; Argasidae
Exons: 3
Source: RefSeq, a predicted model, not a curated record
GCACAACCACCACAACAACUACGAGGCGUCCCCUGACCGACGAAGAACUCACUGAACUGGCUGAAACGCGUCCGAUCACAGUCCUCUUCGUCGGUGACCACAGCUACAGUACGAUAUCGAAGGAACAAUUCCUGAUAUAUGCACAAAGCCAGCUUAAUAUGAUGAAUGCAGCCUUUGCAGAAAAUAAGAUCAAGCUGAAGAUGAAAGUUUACGACACCUAUGUG